AUUGAACGCUGGCGGCAUGCUUUACACAUGCAAGUCGAACGGUGACAGGUUAAGCUGACGAGUGGCGAACGGGUGAGUAAUGCAUCGGAACGUGCCCGGUCGUGGGGGAUAACGCAGAGAAAGCUGCGCUAAUACCGCAUACGAUCUGAGGAUGAAAGCGGGGGACCGUAAGGCCUCGCGCGAUCGGAGCGGCCGAUGUCAGAUUAGGUAGUUGGUGGGGUAAAGGCUCACCAAGCCGACGAUCUGUAGCUGGUCUGAGAGGACGACCAGCCACACUGGGACUGAGACACGGCCCAGACUCCUACGGGAGGCAGCAGUGGGGAAUUUUGGACAAUGGGCGCAAGCCUGAUCCAGCAAUGCCGCGUGCAGGAAGAAGGCCUUCGGGUUGUAAACUGCUUUUGUACGGAGCGAAAAGGCUCUCUCUAAUACAGGGGGUUCAUGACGGUACCGUAAGAAUAAGCACCGGCUAACUACGUGCCAGCCGCCGCCGUAA
Molecule: ribosomal RNA, 493 nt
Filed under: uncultured bacterium
Lineage: Bacteria
Description: partial 16S ribosomal RNA
Rfam family: Bacterial small subunit ribosomal RNA
Source: RNAcentral